This 464-nucleotide ribosomal RNA is filed under the name Rasbora daniconius (slender rasbora). Its description in RNAcentral is "partial 16S ribosomal RNA". It matches the Rfam family "Bacterial large subunit ribosomal RNA", at positions 1923 to 2540 of the family's 2925-position model. Lineage: Eukaryota; Metazoa; Chordata; Actinopteri; Cypriniformes; Danionidae. The record is from RNAcentral.
UUUAACGGCCGCGGUAUUUUAACCGUGCAAAGGUAGCGCAAUCACUCGUCCUUUAAAUGGGGACCUGUAUGAAUGGUUAGACGAGGGCUUAACUGUCUCCCUUUUCCAGUCAGUGAAAUUGAUCUAUCCGUGCAGAAGCGGGUAUGACCAUACAAGACGAGAAGACCCUUUGGAGCUUUAGGUACAAGCCUCACUCAUGUCAAACAUAUUAUAAAAAAUCCAAACCCACAUGAAAAAUGAGACCUUACCUUCGGUUGGGGCGACCACGGAGGAAAAAAUAGCCUCCGAGUGGAUUGGAUAACUUCCAAAACCAAGAAUAACAAUUCUAAGUAACAGAACAUCUGACUAAAUAUGACCCGGCCACUUAAGCCGAUCAACGAACCAAGUUACCCAAGGGAUAACAGCGCAAUCCUCUUCCAGAGUUCAUAUCGACGAGGGGGUUUACGACCUCGAUGUGGAUCAGG